Molecule: ribosomal RNA, 474 nt
Filed under: uncultured bacterium
Lineage: Bacteria
Description: bacterial SSU rRNA
Rfam family: Bacterial small subunit ribosomal RNA
Source: RNAcentral
UGGCCUUGACAUGCAGAGAACUUUCCAGAGAUGGAUUGGUGCCUUCGGGAACUCUGACACAGGUGCUGCAUGGCCGUCGUCAGCUCGUGUCGUGAGAUGUUGGGUUAAGUCCCGUAACGAGCGCAACCCCUAUCCCUAGUUGCUAGCAGUUCGGCUGAGAACUCUAGGGAGACUGCCGGUGACAAACCGGAGGAAGGUGGGGAUGACGUCAGGUCAUCAUGGCCCUUACGGCCAGGGCUACACACGUGCUACAAUGGUGCGUACAGAGGGCUGCAAACCCGCGAGGGGGAGCUAAUCUCACAAAACGCAUCGUAGUCCGGAUCGGAGUCUGCAACUCGACUCCGUGAAGUCGGAAUCGCUAGUAAUCGCGAAUCAGAAUGUCGCGGUGAAUACGUUCCCGGGCCUUGUACACACCGCCCGUCACACCAUGGGAGUGGAUUGCACCAGAAGUGGUUAGUCUAACCUUCGGGAGGA